CUAGUGAUGAUUGGCAUUGCUCCUGGUGCACCUGAGAGGCCACAACUUGUUAAGGGGAACAUGCAACUAUUUUCCGUAGACUAGCAACGUAGUCAAGCUUUAGAAGCACAUGCUGCAGCCUUUGCAACAUUUAAAGUUGCUGGAAAUGAGAAUCCUUCUACUCUUAUUUGCUUUGCAUCAAAGACCAUGAAUGCCGGUCAAUUUAUUUCGAAGUUGCAUGUCAUCGAACUCGGUGCUCAGCCAAGUCAUUGCGUAUUUCAGAAACAGUAGAUGAUGAGAGUAUUAGCGUAUAGGAAGUACCUAGCUAGUGCAUGAAGGCAAUAUGACGUUAGAAGAUUUCCUCACCCCAACUGAGAUGAAAGAUGGACUCACAAACCUUGCUAGAGUCGAAGAGCUGGUUGUUGUUAUUUAUUUAUUUAUAUUCAAAACCAUUUUCAAUUUAUUAUAAUAAAUAUUAUAAUUUUUUUAUUGUCUAGUAAUAUAAAUUUUGUUUAAUAUUCAGUUUUAUUUGUAUGCCAUCAUUUUUAUGUUUCAAAUAUUUAAAAAAUAUAGGUUUCGAUUGAAU
This is a long non-coding RNA of Magnolia sinica, 565 nucleotides long. RefSeq lists it as uncharacterized. Lineage: Eukaryota; Viridiplantae; Streptophyta; Magnoliopsida; Magnoliales; Magnoliaceae. The transcript has 3 exons. The record is from RefSeq and is a predicted model, not a curated record.